This is a long non-coding RNA of Megalobrama amblycephala (Wuchang bream), 1528 nucleotides long. RefSeq lists it as uncharacterized. The transcript is spliced from 3 exons. NCBI's taxonomy places the organism in Eukaryota, Metazoa, Chordata, Actinopteri, Cypriniformes, Xenocyprididae. The record is from RefSeq and is a predicted model, not a curated record.
AUGGCAUCACUGUGGAUCCUACUAAUUUUUUAUAUUGAUCAUGGGAAAUAAGAUUUCCUUGCUUCCAUUAAAGCACAAGAUGUUUUUUGGAAUAAAUCAUGUCAUUGCUGGAGAACACAAUCAUCAGGUUUUAUUCAUGUCCGCUCCAUUGCUUAUUUUCAAUUCCAGUUUUUCUUUGUUAUGCUGAGAGUAUGAAAAAAGGUUAUUAAAUUAUAGAAUAGAAGCUUGGUCUUAUACUUUGGACUUGCUAAUCACCAGCAACAUUUAUCACCAAUGAUAACUGAUGCUCAGAGCAAUAACAGAUUGUAAGCAGCAUUAGCAUUUCUGCAUUGCAUAUUUUCAGCUGCAUAUGUUUUUCAUUCGAGGUGAAGUCUAGAGAAGAUGAAAUGUGGGUUUGAUGUCGUUUGGAGGCAGCUAGCUCUUGUUUCCCCCACAAAGACCCUAGAUGCUAUUUCAGUGGCCACAUUGGAACAGAAAUACCACAGGAUCACACAGAACAUUUGUGCAGGGCUGAUGUUGCGUGCUCCACGUUGUGUAGGAGUAUGGAUCUGGAUCAGCUUGUUUUGUAACGUUUAAAACAUAAAGAUGUAAGGAAAUAGACAUGGAGGGAGAGAGAGUUUUACCUGAAAUACAUUAGCAUAAAUGUGUGUGCCCUCACAUAGAAAUCAUUUUGUCUCCUGUUGUAUGCAUGUUUUUUCCUCAGAGGUGGAACAUUGUGUUUAUAAUGUUUAAGUUGCUAAAACUCCCAAUUCCAGGAAGGCUUUUGUUGUUGUUAUUGUUUGUGGAAAAACCUUCAUCCAAAAUCUGUUGUUCCAGCAGAUUCCGGAAAGCAAUGCAGUCAGUGCGCCGCCUCAGGCCUUAAAACCAUUAAAGCAAAGUAAACAAGAGGUGCCUACAACCAGACCCUCUGAUAACAACAAUUCAAUUUAAAACAAAGACACAGAAACCUGUUGUGCUGUUUUGGAGGUGGCUGUGGAAUCAGCAGAACAUUUACAUUCUCAAGAGAACUUUUGCUGAAUUGCAUUUUCAACAUUAUAAUCAAGGCAGAAGCAAUAGGUGCAGGAGGUCGUGGAUGGAUAGAUGGAUGAUGGAGGGAAGCAGACACACACUCAACUGGAAGUAAGUUGUCACACGAAGACACAGGAACACACAGACGAGGAGAACACACUGGAGGAUCGUUGGAGAACAGUACUGGGAAACAGGAGAUAAUCACACAGAGGAUUCGUAGGAGAAACACAUGGAGAAGGUCCUCUACAUUCAAACGAGAUUUGUCUUUGGAGUGAGGUGAGGAGUGUGCUUAAGUGUAGCUUGUGUGAUGAGGUGACGACGGAACAGGUGCGGGUGAUUGCUGAGUGUGAACAGGUGAGUUGAAGGAGGGAUUAUGGGAAAUGGCGUUCAGUGAAGGCAAGACAGACGGUGACAAAUACAUUUGUUAUGGUAUUUAUUCAUCUUUGUUAAUGUUAGUUAAUAACAAUACAACUGUUUGUUCUUGUUAGUUCACAGUGCAUUAACUAAUGUUAACAAAUAC